AAGCGUUUAUGACCAGACUUGGGCUUGGUUAAUCAUCUGGGGUUCUCCCCAGUGCACUUUUCCAGUCCAGGCCAGCAUCAGUUUUCCCCGGGGGAUAAAGGCUUAGAGAAUGUGGCCCUCUUCGGGGGGUGUUAUAGC
This 138-nucleotide ribosomal RNA is filed under the name Fusarium sp. RNAcentral's name for it is "partial large subunit ribosomal RNA". Lineage: Eukaryota; Fungi; Ascomycota; Sordariomycetes; Hypocreales; Nectriaceae. The record is from RNAcentral.